CUACGGGGCGCUGCAGUGAGGAAUAUUGCACAAUGGGGGGAACCCUGAUGCAGCAACGCCGCGUGGAGAAUGACGCAUUUCGGUGUGUAAACUCCUUUUAUAUGUCAAGAAAAUGACGGUAGCAUAUGAGUAAGCACCGGCUAACUCCGUGCCAGCAGCCGCGGUAAUACGGAGGGUGCAAGCGUUACUCGGAAUCACUGGGCGUAAAGGACGCGUAGGCGGGUUGGAAAGUCAGGUGUGAAAUCCUGCAGCUUGACUGUAGGACUGCACUUGAAACUUCUAAUCUAGAGUAUGGGAGGGGGAGAUGGAAUUAGUGGUGUAGGGGUAAAAUCCGUAGAUAUCACUAGGAAUACCUAAAGCGAAGGCGAUCUCCUGGAACAUUACUGACGCUAAGGCGUGAAAGCGUGGGGAGCAAACAGGAUUAGAUACCCGCGUAGUC
RNAcentral lists this ribosomal RNA (439 nucleotides) under uncultured bacterium. Its description in RNAcentral is "partial 16S ribosomal RNA". It matches the Rfam family "Bacterial small subunit ribosomal RNA", at positions 339 to 795 of the family's 1533-position model. The record is from RNAcentral.